UCGAGAAGUCCCGCGUCGCCGUCCGGAGCUCUUCCACCGUGAACGCCAGCACGUCGGACCCCGCCAGCGACAGCGACAGGUCUAGGUCCUCCGGCGACGGCAGCGGCUCCGGCGGCCUCGAGCUGGAGGCCACCUUCGCGGCGUUCCUCGAGCCGCCGGAGCCGGAGUCGCCGGAGCGGGCGGCGUGGGAGGAGCUGAAGCAGCCGAGGCCGAACAGCGAGCUCCACGACGUCGACGACGACUUGGGCUUCCCCAUGCGAGCGUGCGG
This 268-nucleotide long non-coding RNA is filed under the name Setaria italica (foxtail millet). Its description in RNAcentral is "long non-coding RNA (SITA_LNC006735)". The record is from RNAcentral. Lineage: Eukaryota; Viridiplantae; Streptophyta; Magnoliopsida; Poales; Poaceae.